GAGUAUGAGCGCUCCUUGGUUGGUU
RNAcentral lists this non-coding RNA (25 nucleotides) under Rattus norvegicus (Norway rat). The record is from RNAcentral. Lineage: Eukaryota; Metazoa; Chordata; Mammalia; Rodentia; Muridae.